This 253-nucleotide ribosomal RNA is filed under the name uncultured bacterium. RNAcentral describes it as "partial 16S ribosomal RNA". It matches the Rfam family "Bacterial small subunit ribosomal RNA", at positions 524 to 776 of the family's 1533-position model. The record is from RNAcentral.
GACGAACCGGACAAACGUUAUUCGGAAUUAUUGGGCUUAAAGGGUGCGUAGGCGGUGCGGUAAGUUGGGUGUGAAAUCCCUCGGCUCAACCGAGGAAUUGCGCCCAAUACUGCCGUGCUCGAGGGAGACAGAGGUGAGCGGAACUGAUGGCGGAGCGGUGAAAUGCGUUGAUAUCAUCAGGAACACCGGUGGCGAAAGCGGCUCGCUGGGUCUCUACUGACGCUGAGGCACGAAAGCUAGGGUAGCGAACAGG